RNAcentral lists this ribosomal RNA (235 nucleotides) under Cryptosporidium parvum. RNAcentral's name for it is "partial 18S ribosomal RNA". It matches the Rfam family "Eukaryotic small subunit ribosomal RNA", at positions 320 to 556 of the family's 1831-position model. Lineage: Eukaryota; Apicomplexa; Conoidasida; Eucoccidiorida; Cryptosporidiidae. The record is from RNAcentral.
UUUAAACGGUAGGGUAUUGGCCUACCGUGGCAAUGACGGGUAACGGGGAAUUAGGGUUCGAUUCCGGAGAGGGAGCCUGAGAAACGGCUACCACAUCUAAGGAAGGCAGCAGGCGCGCAAAUUACCCAAUCCUAAUACAGGGAGGUAGUGACAAGAAAUAACAAUACAGGACUUUUUGGUUUUGUAAUUGGAAUGAGUUAAGUAUAAACCCCUUUACAAGUAUCAAUUGGAGGGC